CACGUAGGGGGCAAGCGUUAUCCGGAUUUACUGGGUGUAAAGGGAGCGUAGACGGCAAUACAAGUCGGAAGUGAAAUACCCGGGCUUAACCUGGGAACUGCUUUGGAAACUGUAUGGCUGGAGUGCUGGAGAGGUAAGCGGAAUUCCUAGUGUAGCGGUGAAAUGCGUAGAUAUUAGGAGGAACACCAGUGGCGAAGGCGGCUUACUGGACAGUAACUGACGUUGAGGCUCGAAAGCGUGGGGAGCAAACAGG
This 253-nucleotide ribosomal RNA is filed under the name uncultured bacterium. RNAcentral describes it as "partial 16S ribosomal RNA". It matches the Rfam family "Bacterial small subunit ribosomal RNA", at positions 524 to 776 of the family's 1533-position model. The record is from RNAcentral.